Molecule: ribosomal RNA, 463 nt
Filed under: Streptococcus sp. oral taxon 431
Lineage: Bacteria; Bacillati; Bacillota; Bacilli; Lactobacillales; Streptococcaceae
Description: bacterial SSU rRNA
Rfam family: Bacterial small subunit ribosomal RNA
Source: RNAcentral
GACGAACGCUGGCGGCGUGCCUAAUACAUGCAAGUAGAACGCUGAAGGAGGAGCUUGCUUCUCCGGAUGAGUUGCGAACGGGUGAGUAACGCGUAGGUAACCUGCCUGGUAGCGGGGGAUAACUAUUGGAAACGAUAGCUAAUACCGCAUAACAGUAGAUAUUGCAUGAUAUCUGCUUGAAAGGUGCAAUUGCAUCACUACCAGAUGGACCUGCGUUGUAUUAGCUAGUUGGUGAGGUAACGGCUCACCAAGGCAACGAUACAUAGCCGACCUGAGAGGGUGAUCGGCCACACUGGGACUGAGACACGGCCCAGACUCCUAAGGGAGGCAGCAGUAGGGAAUCUUCGGCAAUGGACGGAAGUCUGACCGAGCAACGCCGCGUGAGUGAAGAAGGUUUUCGGAUCGUAAAGCUCUGUUGUAAGAGAAGAACGAGUGUGAGAGUGGAAAGUUCACACUGUGACGG